Molecule: ribosomal RNA, 468 nt
Filed under: uncultured bacterium
Lineage: Bacteria
Description: partial 16S ribosomal RNA
Rfam family: Bacterial small subunit ribosomal RNA
Source: RNAcentral
GAUGAACGCUGGCGGCGUGCUUAACACAUGCAAGUCGAACGGACAGGCCCUGCUCUUGUGGCGUGCUCGAGUGGCGAACGGGGGAGUAUCACGUGAGUAAACUGCCCCUGUCUUUGGGGUAACUUUAGGAAACAGGGGCGAAUAUCGGAUAGGAGAUCCUGCUGCAUGGUGGGGGUUGGAAAGUUUCGGCGGUGUGGGAUGGACUCGCGGCUUGUCAGCUUGUUGGUGUGGUAGUGGCGUACCAAGGCUGCGACGGGUAGCCGGCCUGAGAGGGUGACCGGCCACAAUGGGACUGAGGUACGCACCAGACUCCUACGGGAGGCAGCAGGGGGGAAUAUUGCGCAAUAGGCGGAAGCCUGAGGCAGCAACGCCGCGUGCGGGAUGCCGGCCUUCGGGUUGUAAACCGCUUUCGCCUGUGACGAAGCGGGAGUGACGGUAAUGGGUAAAGAAGCACCGGCUAACUACGUG